RNAcentral lists this ribosomal RNA (197 nucleotides) under uncultured bacterium. RNAcentral describes it as "partial 16S ribosomal RNA". It matches the Rfam family "Bacterial small subunit ribosomal RNA", at positions 328 to 539 of the family's 1533-position model. The record is from RNAcentral.
ACGCUCGACACCUACGAGAGGCAGCAGUGGGGAAUAUUGCACAAUGGGGGAAACCCUGAUGCAGCGACGCCGCGUGAGCGAAGAAGUAUCUCGGUAUGUAAAGCUCUAUCAGCAGGGAAGAAGAUGACGGUACCUGACUAAGAAGCACCGGCUAAAUACGUGCCACAGCCGCGGUAAUCUGAGCGGGCUGGCAAGGC